RNAcentral lists this unclassified non-coding RNA (518 nucleotides) under Phalacroseris bolanderi var. coronata. Its description in RNAcentral is "partial external transcribed spacer". The record is from RNAcentral. Lineage: Eukaryota; Viridiplantae; Streptophyta; Magnoliopsida; Asterales; Asteraceae.
AAGGAUUGUUUCGGUUUUUGGUUGCUUGCUUGGCCUUGUUGCCAAGGGGGUGGCUGUUAGCCGGGUGGUCUUUGGGGAUGUCGACCGUAAAGGUGCAUGAGUGGUGAUUGGUUUGUUACAGGUGGUUGGAUGUCUGUUUGUGCAGCAACUUCCACGUGUUCAUACCUCUUCAGUUAUGUUACAAGCCUUUAUUAGUCUUGUGCAUCGGUUGGGUUUCUUGUGUUACAUACCUAAUCAAGGGCAUCGUGUGGCUAGAUCUAAGUUGCAAUUCGUAAUGCGUCUCUUAUGGCGUUGAACGAACCUCAAAGCGGUCUCUAUGGUCCAUACUGUUGUUGCCCAUGUAGUGAUGGCAUGGCCGUUGGAGCGUCGCUUGGCCUCUUGCAUACRGAACCUGUUGUGGGCUGUAGGGUCAUUCAUGAUUCUAUUUUUGCCCUUGUUGAGCGUUCUCGCUUCUCUAAACGACCGUCUGUCAUGUGUCGACAUGUUCGUGCAUGGUGGGUUGUGUCGAAGAGGAAUGC